Molecule: long non-coding RNA, 297 nt
Organism: Leptinotarsa decemlineata (Colorado potato beetle)
Lineage: Eukaryota; Metazoa; Arthropoda; Insecta; Coleoptera; Chrysomelidae
Source: RefSeq, a predicted model, not a curated record
GAGCAAAUAAAGUAGAUAUUACAAAUUUCGUUAUUGUUCAUGGAAAACACUCUUUCUAUCAACAUUUACAUUUUGAAGUGAAGCCCUGAAGGAGAAACUGUUUGCGAUCAUCUGGUGAUCACGCAAUGGAAUGGAAUGAAACAAAAAUUGUCACCGAAGAACUCCACAAAAAACCCAGACAACUCAGGAAAUGGAUCGUAGGUAGCUGAAGACGGAAAAAUGACCAAAAAACGAUUAUUGUGACACCCUGUAUGUAUAUGAAUCUAUAUGAAUUAUAUUUUUCAUUCUGUGAAAGAA